RNAcentral lists this ribosomal RNA (256 nucleotides) under uncultured prokaryote. Its description in RNAcentral is "partial 16S ribosomal RNA". It matches the Rfam family "Bacterial small subunit ribosomal RNA", at positions 522 to 777 of the family's 1533-position model. The record is from RNAcentral.
AAUACGUAGGGUGCGAGCGUUAAUCGGAAUUACUGGGCGUAAAGCGUGCGCAGGCGGUUCGUCGUGUCUGAUGUGAAAGCCCCGGGCUCAACCUGGGAAUGGCAUUGGAAACUGGCGGACUAGAGUGUGGCAGAGGGGGGUGGAAUUCCGCGUGCAGCAGUGAAAUGCGUAGAGAUGCGGAGGAACACCGAUGGCGAAGGCAGCCCCCUGGGCUAACACUGACGCUCAGGCACGAAAGCGUGGGGAGCAAACAGGA